CUGGCCAAUAGCCCGGGAGACCUCUGGCUUCAUUCGACUACUUGGGAGAGUUCCCCAGGAGAGAGGGGAGUCAGACAGAGACUGAAGACCCACAAGACGACGAGCCUCAGAUCAGGACAAGGAUGUCUUUUGAAAGGCAUCUCACCAUACCGGGCACCUGAGAAUUUGAGACACGGGAUCUUGCUGAAUUGCUUAGGACCUCUCUAAGUUGCUGAGGAUGACCUUG
Sciurus carolinensis (gray squirrel) is the source of this 226-nucleotide long non-coding RNA. RefSeq lists it as uncharacterized. The record is from RefSeq and is a predicted model, not a curated record. Lineage: Eukaryota; Metazoa; Chordata; Mammalia; Rodentia; Sciuridae. The transcript has 3 exons.